RNAcentral lists this long non-coding RNA (341 nucleotides) under Homo sapiens (human). RNAcentral describes it as "HSALNT0400599". The record is from RNAcentral. Lineage: Eukaryota; Metazoa; Chordata; Mammalia; Primates; Hominidae.
AUGUUUUCCUGGAUGGUGUUGAUGCUAGUAGAUGUUCUUCAGUGUCUGGACAUUAAAAUCUUGGGCAUGCAGCACCAUAUGAGAGGUUUAAAAAAUAAAAUUAAAAAAGAGAAAAGAACCCAGAGUUGAUCUCUGCAGCAUGCCAUCACUGCUGGGGAUGAGGAAACGGUGAUUUCAGGACUGUUUUUUCUGUCUCUUCAGUGCCUCUUUCAGUGAUCUCAGGUUAAAACCAGACUAUGGAGGAUUCAUCACCAGACCAGGAAGCAACAGCCUGGGCUCCAGAGUUGGCCAGCAGUCCAUGCACAGACGAGGAGAGGUCCCAUGAACCUUCAGCGUGGUCU